RNAcentral lists this ribosomal RNA (443 nucleotides) under uncultured bacterium. Its description in RNAcentral is "partial 16S ribosomal RNA". It matches the Rfam family "Bacterial small subunit ribosomal RNA", at positions 338 to 795 of the family's 1533-position model. The record is from RNAcentral.
CCUACGGGAGGCAGCAGUGGGGAAUAUUGGGCAAUGGAGGCAACUCUGACCCAGCAACGCCGCGUGAAUGAUGAAGGUCUUCGGAUUGUAACGUUCUGUGAUGGGGGAUGAACACAAUGACGGUACCCCAAUAGCAAGCCACGGCUAACUACGUGCCAGCAGCCGCGGUAAUACGUAGGUGGCAAGCGUUAUCCGGAAUGACUGGGCGUAAAGGGUGCGUAGGUGGUUUAGUAAGUUGGCGGUGUAAUUCCGGGGCUCAACCGUAAAAUUGCAAUUGAUACUGGCAGUCUUGAGUACAGUUGAGGUAGGCGGAAUUCGUGGUGUAGCGGUGAAAUGCUUAGAUAUCACGCAGAACUCCGAUUGCGAAGGCAGCAUACCGGCGCCCAACUGACGCUGAAGCACGAAAGCGUGGGUAUCGAACAGGAUUAGAUACCCGAGUAGUC